UGCCAGACUCCUACGGGAGGCAGCAGUGGGGAAUAUUGCACAAUGGGGGAAACCCUGAUGCAGCGACGCCGCGUGAAGGAAGAAGUAUUUCGGCAUGUAAACUUCUAUCAGCAGGGAAGAAAAUGACGGUACCUGACUAAGAAGCCCCGGCUAACUACGUGCCAGCAGCCGCGGUAAUACGUAGGGGGCAAGCGUUAUCCGGAAUUACUGGGUGUAAAGGGAGCGUAGACGGUUAAGUAAGUCUGGAGUGAAAGGCCGGGGCCCAACCCCGGGACUGCUCUGGAAACUAUUGAACUUGAGUGCAGGAGAGGUAAGCGGAAUUCCUAGUGUAGCGGUGAAAUGCGUAGAUAUUAGGAGGAACACCAGUGGCGAAGGCGGCUUACUGGACUGUAACUGACACUGAGGCACGAAAGCGUGGGGAGCAAACAGGAUUAGAUACCCCAGUA
Molecule: ribosomal RNA, 446 nt
Filed under: uncultured bacterium
Lineage: Bacteria
Description: bacterial SSU rRNA
Rfam family: Bacterial small subunit ribosomal RNA
Source: RNAcentral